UCCAACCUAAGCUUUUCUCGGAUAUUGGUAACAUUAACCAACUCUUAAUAGGUUAAGAACGCACCUUCUUAUUCACAAUUCUUUUUACUUACUAAACUUAACCAAUUCACCCAUGUAGCAAGCAGAGGAUCGAUGACUCCCAACCAAUCAAGGUUUAGGGCAUCGGGUUUUAAAGGCUUUCGCCACCCCUUCGGAUCAUG
RNAcentral lists this long non-coding RNA (200 nucleotides) under Vitis vinifera (wine grape). Its description in RNAcentral is "long non-coding RNA (VVIN_LNC003229)". The record is from RNAcentral. Lineage: Eukaryota; Viridiplantae; Streptophyta; Magnoliopsida; Vitales; Vitaceae.